AUUGAACGCUGGCGGCAGGCCUAACACAUGCAAGUCGAACGAGUGGCGGACGGGUGAGUAAGGUCUGGGAAACUGCCCGAGGGAGGGGGAUAACGACUGGAAACGGUAGCUAAUACCGCAUACCAUCGGAUGUGCCCAGAUGGGAUUAGCUAGUAGGGGGGGUAACGGCUAACCGAGGCGACGAGCCCUAGCUGGUCUGAGAGGAUGACCAGCCACACUGGAACUGAGACACGGUCCAGACUCCCACGGAAGGCAGACGUGGGGAAUAUUGCACAAUGGGCGCAAGCCUGAUGCAGCCAUGCCGCGUGUAUGAAGAAGGCCUUCGGGUUGUAAAGUACUUGCAGCGAGGAGGCGUUACUCGCAGAAGAAGCACCGGCUAACUCCGUGCCAGCAGCCGCGGUAAUUC
This 406-nucleotide ribosomal RNA is filed under the name uncultured bacterium. RNAcentral describes it as "partial 16S ribosomal RNA". It matches the Rfam family "Bacterial small subunit ribosomal RNA", at positions 29 to 526 of the family's 1533-position model. The record is from RNAcentral.